GUGCCCUUCCUAACUAGUGGCUAAAAUGGAGGUAUGCUAGAUUUAUUUUUCAUUUGACGCUAGAACUACAAGUCAAUUGGAUUGGGUUGGAGACGGGUAGAAUUUAGAUCUAAUCCUUAUUUUGAAUCAUGAGUAAAAAUCAAAUCCAAGCUUAUUCUAAAAUUAUUUGGUUUUGACUUUGUAUUGCAUCAGGUGCAAUAUUAAUUUUAUCUUUUUUCUUCUUUUUAUAAUUAAG
Molecule: long non-coding RNA, 235 nt
Filed under: Elaeis guineensis (African oil palm)
Lineage: Eukaryota; Viridiplantae; Streptophyta; Magnoliopsida; Arecales; Arecaceae
Description: long non-coding RNA (EGUI_LNC020744)
Source: RNAcentral